ACAAGCAAGGACUAGUGAAUGAUUUUGUGUAUGGAGGAACCAAUAAGAUCUAUUUACUCGCAAUCACAUAUUGGUCUCUAAAUGUUUGAUACUCGCUUUAUUUUGUUUCUAUUUAAUUCCAUUUUUAUUCAAAAAGGAGAUGAUACAUCAAGUCAUGCUAUGGGUUAAACCCAAAUGGUUAACCUUAAAACAAAAAUUCAGACUUUAAUACGUUUUGACUCAAAAGCGAAUUUCAUUAAUGGGUGAUCCUUUCAGUUUGCUGAUAGUGUCUACCUAGUGGUACACCUUGGGUCCUAUGCUGUGUCCGUGGCUCUGUUUAAUGCUGGAGUUUCUUUGGAAUCCUUAAGUUAGAAUGAAGCAUAACUGAGAGCAGUAUUUUAUGAUCAUUUUGCCUGUUUGCUUCUUCUUUGCUUGACAAAGUAUAUAUCUUGUUUCAAAAGUGAAUUUGGUUAACGAGUGGUCCUUUCGGUUUGCUGAUAGCAGUUGCCUAAUGGUACACCUUUGGCCAUAUGCUGUCCCCAUGGCUGUGUUUAAUGCUACCGAGCUUCUUUGGGUUCCAUUAGUUGUAAGGAAGCAUAACUGAGAGCAGUAGACUUCAUCACACACACACACACACACACUAGCAAAAGAAAGAAACAGGGACAGGGGCAUUAUUGAAGUUAUGACUUUUGGAUUUCAGAAUUCAUUAAUUUGGAUGCUAUUAUUAGACUCAUAGCAGUCCAAGAAGAGA
Juglans microcarpa x Juglans regia is the source of this 730-nucleotide long non-coding RNA. RefSeq lists it as uncharacterized. The transcript has 2 exons. The record is from RefSeq and is a predicted model, not a curated record. Lineage: Eukaryota; Viridiplantae; Streptophyta; Magnoliopsida; Fagales; Juglandaceae.